Musa acuminata subsp. malaccensis (wild Malaysian banana) is the source of this 874-nucleotide non-coding RNA. Lineage: Eukaryota; Viridiplantae; Streptophyta; Magnoliopsida; Zingiberales; Musaceae. The record is from RefSeq and is a predicted model, not a curated record.
GUAAUUUUACACUGGAAAUGAUAAAGCAACAAAAUUCUGACAAAAUCUAAUCUAUUUCGCUUUCCAGUGCGUGAUUAACUACAUUGCUGAAGACAUCCUCCAUAGAGCCGAAAUCUUUGGGUCCCAAUGACAUCAUAAAUCUUCAUGGCAUCUGAACAGAGGCUAGUCACCAUAUCCUCAAUAAUGUCCUUGUUGAUAGGAUCUGCUGAUAUGGCUCUCCAAUCUUCCCCAGCUUGUGCUGAGCUCCAUCCCUUUGUUGAAACUCAAUUUGGCACAUAAUCAUCAUCAUUCUAUAUUCUUCUUUGGAGCAAUGGAUGUGAAGAGUGAUGUUGCUGCGCAAGAGAGAUCCUUGAAGCAGGAGCCAUCAGCCACAAUGGUAUCUGGGCUUGUCCAGUUCAUUGUUCACAACUGAUUGGAUGGAGAUGAUUAACAAGCAGAGGAAUACCGGGUAGAUGGUCAAAAUGAUGUUCUGCUUGAUGUUUCUUCUCUGCACCAAAAAGGCCACAGAUAUCAGGGUUACUGAGAGGAGAAAAAAGAUGUGAACAUUCAUAACAAGCCACCGCAGCAGUGUAGAAGAGGAUGACAGAACAAUGGAAGUACAUGGCAACACAAGACAACAAAAACAUGGAGAAACAAGGAGGCAGAGAGCAUCAUGAAAUGUGCACCUGGUAGAUCAGGUUCUUCCUCAACAACGCAUCAGCUUGUGUAAGGAAAGAUGCAGUGCCGUAGGAAACCAUGGAGAGAGAGCACACAAGCCCACGCAUACAAGUGUUUUCACUGCAGCAUACAUCACCAGGAAACAGAUGCGUCCGUGGAGUGCGUAUGCAAAAUUCCAGUCUCUUUCUUUCUGAUCGAUAUGAGUUUUACUUCUUUC